This 49-nucleotide ribosomal RNA is filed under the name Lodderomyces parapsilosis. RNAcentral describes it as "Candida parapsilosis partial 28S ribosomal RNA". The record is from RNAcentral. Lineage: Eukaryota; Fungi; Ascomycota; Pichiomycetes; Serinales; Debaryomycetaceae.
CGACCUCAAAUCAGGUAGGACUACCCGCUGAACUUAAGCAUAUCAAUAA